UACCAGCACCCCGAGUGGUCGGGACGAUUAUUGGGCCUAAAGCAUCCGUAGCCGGUUCUGCAAGUCCCCCGUUAAAUCCAGCUGCUCAACAGGUGGGCCGCGGAGGAUACUACAGAGCUAGGAGGCAGGAGAGGCAAGCGGUACUCAGUGGGUAGGGGUAAAAUCCGUUGAUCCAUUGAAGACCACCAGUGGCGAAGGCGGCUUGCCAGAAUGCGCCCGACGGUGAGGGAUGAAAGCUGGGGGAGCAAACCGG
This 253-nucleotide ribosomal RNA is filed under the name uncultured bacterium. RNAcentral describes it as "partial 16S ribosomal RNA". It matches the Rfam family "Archaeal small subunit ribosomal RNA", at positions 474 to 727 of the family's 1478-position model. The record is from RNAcentral.